GAUGAACGCUGGCGGCGUGCCUAACACAUGCAAGUCGAGCGAGAAAUAAAGAAAUGACACUUCGGUUGAACUUCUUUAUGGAAAGCGGCGGACGGGUGAGUAACGCGUAGGCAACCUGCCCCGAACACAGGGAUAGCCUCGGGAAACCGGGAUUAAAACCUGAUGAAGCGAAAGAGUCACAUGGCUCCUUCGUCAAAGAUUUAUCGGUACGGGAUGGGCCUGCGUCUGAUUAGUUAGUUGGUGAGGUAACGGCUCACCAAGGCAACGAUCAGUAGCCGACCUGAGAGGGUGAUCGGCCACAUUGGAACUGAGACACGGUCCAGACUCCUACGGGAGGCAGCAGUGGGGAAUAUUGCACAAUGGGCGAAAGCCUGAUGCAGCAACGCCGCGUGAACGAAGAAGGCCUUUGGGUCGUAAAGUUCUGUCCUUGGGGAAGAAACAAAUGACGGUACCCUUGGAGGAAGCCCCGGCUAACUACGUGCCAGCCGCCGCGGUAACAC
Molecule: ribosomal RNA, 500 nt
Filed under: uncultured bacterium
Lineage: Bacteria
Description: bacterial SSU rRNA
Rfam family: Bacterial small subunit ribosomal RNA
Source: RNAcentral